This 460-nucleotide ribosomal RNA is filed under the name uncultured bacterium. RNAcentral describes it as "partial 16S ribosomal RNA". It matches the Rfam family "Bacterial small subunit ribosomal RNA", at positions 338 to 795 of the family's 1533-position model. The record is from RNAcentral.
CCUACGGGUGGCAGCAGUGAGGAAUAUUGGUCAAUGGACGAAAGUCUGAACCAGCCAUGUCGCGUGCAGGAUGACGGCUCUAUGAGUUGUAAACUGCUUUUGUAUUAGGAUAAACUCCACUAUGUGUAGGGGUUUGAAUGUAUCAUAUGAAUAAGGAUCGGCUAACUCCGUGCCAGCAGCCGCGGUAAUACGGAGGAUCCCAGCGUUAGCCGGAUUUAUUGGGUUUAAAGGGUGCGUAGGCGGUUUGAUAAGUUAGAGGUGAAAUACCGGUGCUCAACACCGGAACUGCCUCUAAUACUGUUGAACUAGAGAGUAGUUGCGGUAGGCGGAAUGUAUGGUGUAGCGGUGAAAUGCUUAGAGAUCAUACAGAACACCGAUUGCGAAGGCAGCUUACCAAACUAUAUCUGACGUUGAGGCACGAAAGCGUGGGUAGCAAACAGGAUUAGAUACCCCAGUAGUC